CUGCGGAAUUUUGUUGAUUGAGACAACUUUUAGACCAAUAGGCAUCCAAAAAUGAUCAAAAUUGGAUGCCUAUCGGCCUAAAAGUUGUCUCAAUCAACGAAUGAGAUAAA
This is a microRNA precursor of Caenorhabditis elegans, 110 nucleotides long. NCBI's taxonomy places the organism in Eukaryota, Metazoa, Nematoda, Chromadorea, Rhabditida, Rhabditidae. The record is from Ensembl.